Molecule: ribosomal RNA, 130 nt
Filed under: Phialophora sp.
Lineage: Eukaryota; Fungi; Ascomycota; Eurotiomycetes; Chaetothyriales; Herpotrichiellaceae
Description: partial small subunit ribosomal RNA
Source: RNAcentral
UAAAUAGCCAGGUUGACUUUUGUCGGCCGCCGGCUUCUUAGAGGGACUUUUGGCUCAAGCCAAUGGAAGUACGAGGCAAUAACAGGUUAACCUUGAGUUACAACUCAUCACAGGCCUGUAACAGCGAACC